RNAcentral lists this long non-coding RNA (384 nucleotides) under Sarcophilus harrisii (Tasmanian devil). Its description in RNAcentral is "lncRNA (ENSSHAG00000021801.1)". The record is from RNAcentral. Lineage: Eukaryota; Metazoa; Chordata; Mammalia; Dasyuromorphia; Dasyuridae.
UUUGUUCAACCUGAUGGAGAAACUGGCAUCCAGAGAAGUGAUGUGUUUUGCCACGUCAAGCUCUCUUCCCUCUUCAUCCCAACUUCUUGGCUUCUCUGCCUUUUUUCAUGUGUCAGCAAAAAUCCCACCUUCUUCAAGAGGACUUUUCCAGACCUUCAUUUCAGUACUAAAGAAAAAAAAGUAGCAGCUAAUAAAUAGAUUGAAACUCUUCAAAGACUAUUUAAAGGGAGAAAAAUCACUACUGUUGGCCAAGAACAAGUUCUGAAAUAGCUUUGUUACCUGAGAAAAAGGUCAUCAGGUCAUCUAUGCCUUCAUCUCAGUCAAAAUCCUGGCAGAUUUUGUUUCCUGACCUCCAGGACACCCUCCUUCCUUUUUUCGAUGAGG